GAGUUUGAUCGUGGCUCAAAUUGGACGCUGGCUCGCUGCUUUACGCAUGCCAGUCAGAACGCACCACACAGAAGCUUGCUUCUUGGGUGGCGAAUGGCGAACGGGUGAGUAACAUAUCUUAACGUACCGAGCACUGCGGGAUAACUGAUCAAACGAUUAACUAAUACCUCGUAUUUUCUGAAGAACAAAGCACGGGACGCAUUUGGCCUUGCGCUGUUUGAGCGGCCGAUAUCUGAUUAUGCUAGUUGGUGGGGUAAAGGCCUACCAAGGCGACUAUCAGUAACGGGUCUGAAAGGAUGAUCCGCCUCACUGGGACUGACACACGGCCCACACUCCUACCGGAGGCCGCCCUGGGGAAUUUUGGAUUAUGGGCCCAAGCCGGAUCCCUCCAUGCCGCGUGUCUGACGAACGCCUUCAGGUUGUAUAGGACUUUUGUCAUGGAAUAAAAGGGCGGGGUUACUACCCCUGUCUGAUGAGGGUACCUGAAGAUUAAGCACCUGCUAAUUAUGUGCCCGCACCCCCGGUACUACCUAUGGUGCGAGCGUUCAUCGGAAUUACUGGGCGUAAAGCGGGCGCAGACAGUUACCUUCGCUUGAUGUGAGAUCCCCCGGCGCAUCCUGUCAACUGCGUUAUGAACUGGGUGACUAGAGUGUGUCAGAGGGAGGUCGAAUUCCACCUGUAGCAGUGAAUUGUGUAGAGAUGUGGAGGAAUACCGAUGGCGAAGGCAGCAUCUUGAGAUAACACUGACGUUCAUGCCUGAAAGAGUGGGUAGCAAACAGGAUUAGAUACGCUGGUAGUCCACGCCUUAAACGAUGUUGAUUAGCUGUUGGGCAGCAUGACUGAUUAGUAGCGAAGAUAACGCGUGAAAUAGACCGCAUGGGGAGUACGGUCGCAAGAUUAAAAGUCAAAGGAAUUGACGGGGACCCGCUCAAGCGGUGGAUGAUACGGAGUAAUUUGAUGCAACGAGAAGAACCUUAUAUAAUCUGGACACGUACGGAACCCUCCAGAGACGGAGGGAUGCGUUUGGGAGCCGUAACACAGAUGUCGCAAGGGUGUCGUCAGGUAGGGUUGUGAGAUGUUGGGCUAAGUCCCGCAACGAGAGCAACCUUUGUCACUAGUUGCCAACAGUAACUUGGGCAGUCUAAUGCGACACCCGGUGACAAGCCGGAGGUAGGCGGGGAAGAACGGCAAGUCGUCAAGGCCGUCUCACGAGCAUGGUCUUACAAAUCAUACAAUUGUUGGUACAUAGGGUAGCCAAGCCUCGAGGAGGAGCCAAUAUCAUAAAACCUAUUAUAGUCCGGAUUGCAAUUUGCAACUCGAGAGCAAGAAGUCGGAAUGGUUCGUAAUGACAGGUCAGCAUAAUGCGGGGAAUACGUUCCCGGUUUUAGCACACACCGCCCGUC
RNAcentral lists this ribosomal RNA (1403 nucleotides) under uncultured bacterium. RNAcentral describes it as "partial 16S ribosomal RNA". It matches the Rfam family "Bacterial small subunit ribosomal RNA". The record is from RNAcentral.